This 199-nucleotide non-coding RNA is filed under the name Paenibacillus naphthalenovorans. The record is from RNAcentral. Lineage: Bacteria; Bacillati; Bacillota; Bacilli; Caryophanales; Paenibacillaceae.
UUUUAUAUUGUGGGAAUAGGUGCUCCGGUCCGUUUCAAACGGUUCCGGAGCUUAAAAGGGAAGUUCGGUGAAAUGCCGACGCGGUCCCGCCACUGUAACAGAGGAGUCAACGCGGAUAUGCCACUGAUCUUCGGAUUGGGAAGGCGCGUUUUGACCAUGAUUCUGGAGCCAGGAGACCUGCCUGUUCUGACAGCACUGU